This 481-nucleotide long non-coding RNA is filed under the name Marmota monax (woodchuck). The record is from RNAcentral. Lineage: Eukaryota; Metazoa; Chordata; Mammalia; Rodentia; Sciuridae.
UCCUCCCACCCCCACCCCACCCAACACACAUGCACUGGCCUGGAAUAGCACACUGGUUCCUUCAGCCAGGUCGCUCUGAUAGAGAGGCACAUGUAAAUAACUUGAUGGGUCGAUCCUGCAGUAUCCCGCAGUGUAGAGAAAGUUCUCUGGGCCUCUGCACACAUCAUAAUCCGAUUUUCCUGACGGAUCUCCAUUUUCUGUAGCCUAGUGCAGUGUGAAUGCUAAACACCUCUCUGUGGACUAGGGUCUUUUCAGAGCUGAUUUAGGAGUAUGGGUGGGAGAUUAGGAACCCCCAGAAAAGUAUCCCCCAACCCCUGAAAAAAAAGGGGGGUGGGGUUGGCGGCUGCUCUGUGUUUGUUUGUGUUAGAUGAAGGAUAACUCUGCCUGUUGUCAGCCUGCCUGGGCACUGUGGGAACCAUUCUUCAGUGAUCUGCCCGUUUAUCAAGCUAGGAAGCUGGGUGCUACCUCCCCAUAAUGACCC